RNAcentral lists this ribosomal RNA (492 nucleotides) under uncultured bacterium. Its description in RNAcentral is "partial 16S ribosomal RNA". It matches the Rfam family "Bacterial small subunit ribosomal RNA", at positions 29 to 507 of the family's 1533-position model. The record is from RNAcentral.
AGUGAACGCUGGCGGUAGGCCUAACACAUGCAAGUCGGACGGCAGCACAGUAAGAGCUUGCUCUUACGGGUGGCGAGUGGCGGACGGGUGAGGAAUACAUCGGAAUCUACUUUUUCGUGGGGGAUGACGUAGGGAAACUUACGCUAAUACCGCAUACGACCUACGGGUGAAAGCAGGGGAUCUUCGGACCUUGCGCGAUUGAAUGAGCCGAUGUCGGAUUAGCUAGUUGGCGGGGUAAAGGCCCACCAAGGCGACGAUCCGUAGCUGGUCUGAGAGGAUGAUCAGCCACACUGGAACUGAGACACGGUCCAGAUUCCUACGGGAGGCAGCAGUGGGGAAUAUUGGACAAUGGGCGCAAGCCUGAUCCAGCCAUACCGCGUGGGUGAAGAAGGCCUUCGGGUUGUAAAGCCCUUUUGUUGGGAAAGAAAAGCAGCAGGUUAAUACCCCGCUGUUCUGACGGUACCCAAAGAAUAAGCACCGGCUAACUUCGUG